RNAcentral lists this long non-coding RNA (807 nucleotides) under Rhinopithecus bieti (black snub-nosed monkey). RNAcentral describes it as "lncRNA (ENSRBIG00000046443.1)". The record is from RNAcentral. Lineage: Eukaryota; Metazoa; Chordata; Mammalia; Primates; Cercopithecidae.
CAUGCAGAAGCCACCGCUCUUUCUUUUCAACAUAAUUCCCAUAUGAUUUGAUUAAUGGAAUGAAUGUGGCAGAAUUGGCCGGAAGCAGAAUUGCCUGUUUCCAGUGAGGCCCCCUUGCCCUCUUGGAAGCAGUUGCUGUGUAGGAAUUCUGAACACCUCACAGGAGAUGGCGGCCUGGCCAGUUCCUGCCUGCUCCAGCCGCCCAGCUGAAGGGGUUCCAGACACAAGUGGAGCCAUGGUGACCUCCAGCCCCAGCAGACACCUCCACACCGUGCAGGGCAGACCAACCAUGCCACCAAGCGAAUUUGCAACACAGAAAAAGGCUGAUGAAGCAGAGACAUUGAUUAUCAAAGUGGCUUCACUUCCCAGAACCAUUCUGACGCAAGAUAGAAUCCAGCUAUGCUUGAUCAUCACAUGCACAGCACUUUCUGAAAUGCUUUCUACAUCUUUGGCCAUCCUAAUGGGUGUGGAGUGGUGUCUUGGCUCCUUCUUGACAGUGGAUCUCUUUGGAGUGCAUACCUGCCAGCCGGGAUAGCUGUCUACUGGCUGCUCCUUGGUCCUGUGGAGCUUUGCUCCUGCACUCUGCCAAGCUCUGAGUCUGGCCUCUGUCUGGGCUGCUGAUAAACACCUGUCUUCAUGCUAAGGCCUCACUGAUUAGUUGAGCCAACCGACUCCUCCAGGGCCUGCCCAACACUGAUGGGUUCCUGACCCAGGCCUGGAACAUCUUGCUGCCUUCUUGUACUCACAGCUUAGGAAGCAAAAAGCAAGCCAGGUGUUCGUACUUCUCUGCUGGGGACAUAACAAAUG